UACGUAGGUGGCAAGCGUUGUCCGGAUUUAUUGGGUUAAAGGGUGCGUAGGCGGCUUAAUAAGUCAGUGGUGAAAGCCGAUCGCUUAACGAUCGAACUGCCAUUGAUACUGCUAGGCUUGAGUAUAGUUGAGGUAGGCGGAAUUGACAGUGUAGCGGUGAAAUGCAUAGAUAUUGUCAAGAACACCAAUUGCGAAGGCAGCUUACUAAAGUAUAACUGACGCGUGAGGCACGGAAAGUGCGGGGAUCAAACAGG
RNAcentral lists this ribosomal RNA (254 nucleotides) under uncultured bacterium. RNAcentral's name for it is "partial 16S ribosomal RNA". It matches the Rfam family "Bacterial small subunit ribosomal RNA", at positions 524 to 776 of the family's 1533-position model. The record is from RNAcentral.